UACAGAGGUCUCAAGCGUUGUUCGGAUUCAUUGGGCGUAAAGGGUGCGUAGGCGGCGCGGUAAGUCGGGUGUGAAAUCUCGGAGCUUAACUCCGAAACUGCAUUCGAUACUGCCGUGCUUGAGGACUGGAGAGGAGACUGGAAUUUACGGUGUAGCGGUGAAAUGCGUAGAUAUCGUAAGGAAGAGCAGUGGCGAAGGCGGGUCUCUGGACAGUUCCUGACGCUGAGGCACGAAGGCCAGGGGAGCAAACGGG
This 253-nucleotide ribosomal RNA is filed under the name uncultured bacterium. RNAcentral describes it as "partial 16S ribosomal RNA". It matches the Rfam family "Bacterial small subunit ribosomal RNA", at positions 524 to 776 of the family's 1533-position model. The record is from RNAcentral.